RNAcentral lists this long non-coding RNA (716 nucleotides) under Hordeum vulgare. RNAcentral describes it as "long non-coding RNA (HVUL_LNC006137)". The record is from RNAcentral. Lineage: Eukaryota; Viridiplantae; Streptophyta; Magnoliopsida; Poales; Poaceae.
GAGCUACUGGCCAACCUUGAACAAGGUAAUUAAAGCAAAUAAGUUACUCUUAGAUAUGUGCUUUCUAUUUUCUUCAUACUUACAUUCUCUUGCUUUAUUUAUUAUUGUUAGAUGUACUUCAAGAAUUGUCUGAUCUAAACAUUGCUAAGUCUGGUACAAGUGCAAGUGUUCGCAUCACCAUUGAUGACACUGAAUCAUAAGUCUUGGUGAGUGAAAUUCUUGUAAGAUUUCCUAUGUAACUUGCAUGUUUUUUCAACUUGAUAUGCUAGAAACUAUGGUGGGAAAGUGGAAAUGAUAUGCAUGAUCUCGUAUACAUAUCACUUUAAUUUUGAACAUGAUUUCUGUUUUAAUUUGCUUUGCAUUUGCACAAUAUAUUUAAGUGAUUUUCUUUUCACUUCUAUAGGGAAUACGAGAAGAACAUCAAAGGAAGUGUGCUGCUGUCAAGGAAUCCUCUCAGCUUCUUUUCUUGUGUUCUAUCUUCUAUGAUUUCCUCGGCUUGGACCUCAAGGAGUUGUGUUGCUUGAAAACUUGUUAAGCCCUUAAAUUAUUAGCUAUGGUUGUCUCAGUUUGGACCUAUUCAGCUUGAACCAUGAUAACUAUUCAGCUUGAACCAUGUUUGUUUUGUGUUUGUGACUCAGCCUCAUUUGUGACUCAAGUUAUGUCUCUGUCUAUGCUUGUGAUGUUUUUAUUUUCUGUUUAUUUGAUCUAUGCUUGUG